CGACGACGUCUCCGGUGGCAUCGCUAUCGAGUGCGCGGAGGAUAGAAUGGUCGGGGUCGAGCUCGACAUCGCCGUCGGGGACGAGUCGCUGCUGCUGCUGCUGCUGCCGCUCAAGAUAAGCUAUCAUCAUCAUGUCGUGUGAAGAAAUGCAUGUGGGAAUGGACGUCUGUCUGGGAAUCAAUAAUUCAAGCAAGUUGGGGAUGGCAACGUCGAUAUCUGCCACCAACAGAUAACAAUUCCUCUUCCUCCUCCUCUCCUCUCAUCUUCUUUUCCAUGUUGGUGGUGGUGGCCAUCUGCGAUGGAUGAUAUAACAUGAUGGAGAUGAGCCACAUCAACCCAUAAAGUCUUUAAGUGAUCAAUAUUUGUGGAAAUAAAAUUAUAUGUGCCAUCCAAUCCAAAAUUAUAGUGAAGAAAUUUUAUUUUUAUUUUUA
Molecule: long non-coding RNA, 431 nt
Organism: Musa acuminata AAA Group (dessert banana)
Lineage: Eukaryota; Viridiplantae; Streptophyta; Magnoliopsida; Zingiberales; Musaceae
Exons: 2
Source: RefSeq, a predicted model, not a curated record